This 69-nucleotide transfer RNA is filed under the name Sphaerodactylus townsendi. RNAcentral's name for it is "tRNA-Val". It matches the Rfam family "tRNA". Rfam says of the family: Transfer RNA (tRNA) molecules are approximately 80 nucleotides in length. Their secondary structure includes four short double-helical elements and three loops (D, anti-codon, and T loops). Further hydrogen bonds mediate the characteristic L-shaped molecular structure. tRNAs have two regions of fundamental functional importance: the anti-codon, which is responsible for specific mRNA codon recognition, and the 3' end, to which the tRNAs corresponding amino acid is attached (by aminoacyl-tRNA synthetases). tRNAs cope with the degeneracy of the genetic code in two manners: having more than one tRNA (with a specific anti-codon) for a particular amino acid; and 'wobble' base-pairing, i.e. permitting non-standard base-pairing at the 3rd anti-codon position. The record is from RNAcentral. Lineage: Eukaryota; Metazoa; Chordata; Lepidosauria; Squamata; Sphaerodactylidae.
GCUGUGGCUCAGUGGAAGAGCAUCUGCUUGACAUGCAGAAAGUCCCAGGUUCAAACCUUAACAUCUCCA